CGGUGUGAACUGCAUACCCACCUGCCUCUCGUCCAAGUCUCCUUACUGCGAGUCCGGAGAGGCUAACGAACAUGAGCUGAAGCCAGGUAUAUACCUUCUGCUGAGAAAGAAGCAGUGCUUCCCAUGGUCUGAGCCCUCACCAAUAGACCGGAGCCACGUUGCUAUGCUGACAUUACCCAGAAGGUUCCCAUGAAGGCCAGCUGGUUCGAGCCCUUUACCCCAGACGUGGCCAAAGGACCCUGGCUCACUUACCACCUGACUCUAUGUAUGUGGAAAGGAGUGUGUCGCCUGCUCCCAGAGGGGUCCUUUAGUUCCCUAGGCCCAUGUAUUGUAUUUCAGUAAAGAGAGACCUGAUCACCCAUCCCUGUGCUUCCAUCUUGUACUAAAAUUACACUCAGUGUGCCCCAGAGGUUAUCUAUGUGACCUGUAUGCACUGACAUUUUUAUUAUAUAGGGAUUUUAUACACCCUACUGUUCCCUCUAUUCUUCGUGUUCCCAGUUCUUGGUUUGGACCUUGAUUUUGCCCUUACUGAGGCCAGCUCUGGAACUUGUUGAACCUUAAACUUGUAAUAGUGAGUUCUCCAUUAAUAUAACAAAAUAUCUGAGAUAAUUGGGUCAGACACAAAAGAAAUGAAGAAGGGGCUGGGGUACUGCAAUCCCCUUCAAGGUCCCAGGGGCCUAAGGACCUCCCACUAGGCCUCAUCUCCUAUAGGUUCCACCGUCUCCUAAUGGAGCCCCCUGGUACCAAGCCUUUAAUACAUGGGCCUUUGAGAAACACAUUCAAACUAUAACAAGCUCCUUCAGGAAAAGACAAUAUUUGUUCUUCUUAGAUUCCCUUGAACCUAGCAGAGCACCUGACCUGUAUGUCACACAGAAUGUCAAGAAAAUGUUUGUUGAAUAAACUUAAAUUUUAAGUUCUGGACUCAAGCAGAUUUAAAGGAAAGUCUACAGUAUUCAAGUAUUCCUCCCAUAGCUCAUAGCUCACAUUACUGUGUUUUAAAUUAGACACGGAUUACUGUUUUUUUUUUUCCUGUUGUAAAGGCAAAUCUUACAUCAGAUUUUAAAAUUUUGAAAAAAUUCAAAAAGAAGAAGUGAAAAUAGCCAGAUAUGGUGGUAUACGCCUCCCCCGGCUCAGGAGGCUGAGGCAGGAGGAUCUGGAGUUCAAAGCCAGCCUCAGCAAUGGUGAGGUACUAAGCACCUCAGUGAGACCCCUGUCUCUAAAUAAAAAUAUAAACUAGGGCUGGGGAUGUGGCUCAGUGGUUGAGUGCCUCUGAGGUCAAUCCCUAGUCCCCACCCCACACCCCCCCAAAAAAAGAAGUAGCAAAAAUAAAAGUGGGAAGAGGAGGGGAAGAGAAAGAAAAAAAAUCCCACCUCUUAUAUACUACUAUUAUUAAUGAAUAUAUUCAAUUGCUAACUCACCCUUUCCACGUGGUUGUUAAAGAGAUACCUCACGUUCAACAUCUCCCAAACUGAAGUUCUGAUCUUUUCCCUUACACCUGCUCUGCUGCAUCCUCCCCAUCUCUGCUAAUGUCAAUUACAUACUUUUAUUGGUCAA
This 1554-nucleotide long non-coding RNA is filed under the name Marmota monax (woodchuck). Lineage: Eukaryota; Metazoa; Chordata; Mammalia; Rodentia; Sciuridae. The record is from RNAcentral.